AGGAUCCAAAACUUGUCUGCAGCCACAAGCCGAUAUCAGCCUACUGUCUUGGCUUUAAGACUUAUUGGUAUUUUGACCAGAACAAGAACAACUGCUAUCACUUCAAGGACUGGUGGUGUGGAAAAAAUGCAAACGGAUUUAUAUCUUACAGGGUCUGCAUGGAGAGGUGCAGCUAUACACGAGUACCAUGGAAAUGUCAACAAUGCAAAGAAAAAGCGCCGCAGCCACCGGACCAGAAGAAACAAGAAGUAAAAGGGCGCAAAUAAAAGCAACCUGUUCACGCUCAAGGAAAUUUUCAAUUGAUAAAAAAAAUUAAAUUCGCUCUAGACAGUGUAAGUCCUCUAAUAUAUCGAAAUUUGGUAAUGGAACAACACGCCAGUGUAGGAUAUGGCAGUAACUACGGCUUAGGCACGCUUUAUGGAAAGACAAAGCGCGAACACCAGCAAGAACAUGAAAAAAUAAAAUUUGAUCGCUACGUUCUCUAUAAUAAUAAAUAAUAGUAAAGCUUG
Molecule: long non-coding RNA, 509 nt
Organism: Dermacentor silvarum
Lineage: Eukaryota; Metazoa; Arthropoda; Arachnida; Ixodida; Ixodidae
Exons: 2
Source: RefSeq, a predicted model, not a curated record